UUUCCGGUUGAUCCCGCCGGACCUGACUGCUAUCGGAUUGAUACUAAGCCAUGCGAGUCUUUGUAGUAAUACAAGGCAUACGGCUCAGUAACACGUAGUCAACCUACCCUAUGGACAAGAAUAAUCUCGGGAAACUGGGCAUAAUUCUUGAUAGAUCAUAAUGCCUGGAAUGGUUUAUGGUUAAAAUGAUUCGUCGCCAUAGGAUGGGACUGCGGCCUAUCAGCUUGUUGGUGAGGUAAUGGCCCACCAAGGCGAUUACAGGUACGGGCUCUGGGAGGAGAAGCCCGGAGAUGGGUACUGAGACACGGACCCAGGCCCUAUGGGGCGCAGCAGGCGAGAAAACUUUGCAAUGUGCGAAAGCACGACAAGGUUAAUCCGAGUGAUUUCUGCUAAAGAAAUCUUUUGCCAGUCAUAAAACCACUGGUGAAUAAGGGGUGGGCAAGUUCUGGUGUCAGCCGCCGCGGUAAAACCAGCACCUCAAGUGGUCAGGAUGAUUAUUGGGCCUAAAGCAUCCGUAGCCGGCUUUGUAAGUUUUCGGUUAAAUCCAUGUGCUCAACACAUGGGCUGCCGAAAAUACUGCAUGGCUAGGGAGUGGGAGAGGUAGACGGUACUCAGUAGGAAGGGGUAAAAUCCUUUGAUCUAUUGAUGACCACCUGUGGCGAAGGCGGUCUACCAGAACACGUUCGACGGUGAGGGAUGAAAGCUGGGGGAGCAAACCGGAUUAGAUACCCGGGUAGUCCCAGCUGUAAACGAUGCAGACUCGAUGAUGCAUUGGCAUAAUAGCCAAUGCAGUGUCGCAGGGAAGCCGUUAAGUCUGCCGCCUGGGAAGUACGUACGCAAGUAUGAAACUUAAAGGAAUUGGCGGGGGAGCACCACAAGGGGUGAAGCCUGCGGUUCAAUUGGAGUCAACGCCGGGA
This 917-nucleotide ribosomal RNA is filed under the name uncultured archaeon. Its description in RNAcentral is "SSU rRNA". It matches the Rfam family "Archaeal small subunit ribosomal RNA", at positions 1 to 923 of the family's 1478-position model. The record is from RNAcentral.